RNAcentral lists this ribosomal RNA (481 nucleotides) under Pseudomonas sp. 01WB03.2-39. RNAcentral describes it as "bacterial SSU rRNA". It matches the Rfam family "Bacterial small subunit ribosomal RNA", at positions 1 to 484 of the family's 1533-position model. Lineage: Bacteria; Pseudomonadati; Pseudomonadota; Gammaproteobacteria; Pseudomonadales; Pseudomonadaceae. The record is from RNAcentral.
UAGAGCUUGAUCAUGGCUCAGAUUGAACGCUGGCGGCAGGCCUAACACAUGCAAGUCGAGCGGUAGAGAGAAGCUUGCUUCUCUUGAGAGCGGCGGACGGGUGAGUAAUGCCUAGGAAUCUGCCUGGUAGUGGGGGAUAACGUUCGGAAACGAACGCUAAUACCGCAUACGUCCUACGGGAGAAAGCAGGGGACCUUCGGGCCUUGCGCUAUCAGAUGAGCCUAGGUCGGAUUAGCUAGUUGGUGAGGUAAUGGCUCACCAAGGCGACGAUCCGUAACUGGUCUGAGAGGAUGAUCAGUCACACUGGAACUGAGACACGGUCCAGACUCCUACGGGAGGCAGCAGUGGGGAAUAUUGGACAAUGGGCGAAAGCCUGAUCCAGCCAUGCCGCGUGUGUGAAGAAGGUCUUCGGAUUGUAAAGCACUUUAAGUUGGGAGGAAGGGCAUUAACCUAAUACGUUAGUGUUUUGACGUACCGACAG